RNAcentral lists this ribosomal RNA (433 nucleotides) under uncultured bacterium. RNAcentral describes it as "partial 16S ribosomal RNA". It matches the Rfam family "Bacterial small subunit ribosomal RNA", at positions 29 to 507 of the family's 1533-position model. The record is from RNAcentral.
AACGAACGCUGGCGGCAUGCCUAACACAUGCAAGUCGAACGAGACCUUCGGGUCUAGUGUCGCACGGGUGCGUAACGCGUGGGAACCUGCCCUUAGGUUCGGAAUAACUCCCCGAAAGGGGUGCUAAUACCGGAUAAUGUCUUCGGACCAAAGAUUUAUCGCCUUUGGAUGUGCCCGCGUUGGAUUAGAUAGUUGGUAGGGUAAAAGCCUACCAAGGCGACGAUCCAUAGCUGGUCUGAGAGGAUGAUCAGCCACACUGGGACUGAGACACGGCCCAGACUCCUACGGGAGGAAGGAGUGGGGAAUGUUGGACAGUGGGCGAAAGCCUGAUCCAGCAAUGCCGCGUGAAUGAUGAAGGCCUUGGGGUUGAAAAGCUCUUUUACCCGGGAUGAUAAUGACAGUACCGGGAGAAUAAGCCCCGGCUAACUCCGUG